UACGUAGGGUGCGAGCGUUAAUCGGAAUUACUGGGCGUAAAGCGUGCGCAGGCGGUUUUGUAAGCCAGAUGUGAAAUCCCCGGGCUUACCUGGGAAUGGCAUUUGGGACUGCAAGGCUUGAGUGUGGCAGAGGAGACUGGAAUUCCUGGUGUAGCAGUGAAAUGCGUAGAUAUCAGGAGGAACACCGAUGGCGAAGGCAGGUCUCUGGGCUGACACU
This 217-nucleotide ribosomal RNA is filed under the name uncultured bacterium. RNAcentral describes it as "partial 16S ribosomal RNA". It matches the Rfam family "Bacterial small subunit ribosomal RNA", at positions 524 to 741 of the family's 1533-position model. The record is from RNAcentral.